AGUGAACGCUGGCGGUAGGCCUAACAUAUGCAAGUCGAACGGCAGCACAGUAAGAGCUUGCUCUUACGGGUGGCGAGUGGCGGACGGGUGAGGAAUACAUCGGAAUCUACUUUUUCGUGGGGGAUAACGUAGGGAAACUUACGCUAAUACCGCAUACGACCUACGGGUGAAAGCAGGGGAUCUUCGGACCUUGCGCGAUUGAAUGAGCCGAUGUCGGAUUAGCUAGUUGGCGGGGUAAAGGCCCACCAAGGCGACGAUCCGUAGCUGGUCUGAGAGGAUGAUCAGCCACACUGGAACUGAGACACGGUCCAGACUCCUACGGGAGGCAGCAGUGGGGAAUAUUGGACAAAGGGCGCAAGCCUGAUCCAGCCAUACCGCGUGGGUGAAGAAGGCCUUCGGGUUGUAAAGCCCUUUUGUUGGGAAAGAAAAGCAGCAGGUUUAUACCCCGCUGUUCUGACGGUACCCAAAGAAUAAGCACCGGCUAACUUCGUG
This 492-nucleotide ribosomal RNA is filed under the name uncultured bacterium. Its description in RNAcentral is "partial 16S ribosomal RNA". It matches the Rfam family "Bacterial small subunit ribosomal RNA", at positions 29 to 507 of the family's 1533-position model. The record is from RNAcentral.